ACCUGACUGCUAUCGGAUUGAUACUAAGCCAUGCGAGUCAUUGUAGCAAUACAAGGCAUACGGCUCAGUAACGCGUAGUCAACCUAACCUAUGGACGGGAAUAACCUCGGGAAACUGAGAAUAAUGCCCGAUAGAACACUAUACCUGGAAUGGUUUGUGUUCCAAAUGAUUUAUCGCCAUAGGAUGGGACUGCGGCCUAUCAGUUUGUUGGUGAGGUAAUGGCCCACCAAGACUAUUACAGGUACGGGCUCUGAGAGGAGUAGCCCGGAGAUGGGUACUGAGACACGGACCCAGGCCCUAUGGGGCGCAGCAGGCGAGAAAACUUUGCAAUGUGCGAAAGCACGACAAGGUUAAUCCGAGUGAUUUGUGCUAAACGAAUCUUUUGUUAGUCCUAGAAACACUAACGAAUAAGGGGUGGGCAAGUUCUGGUGUCAGCCGCCGCGGUAAAACCAGCACCUCAAGUGGUCAGGAUGAUUAUUGGGCCUAAAGCAUCCGUAGCCGGCUCUGUAAGUUUUCGGUUAAAUCUGUACGCUUAACGUACAGGCUGCCGGGAAUACUGCAGAGCUAGGGAGUGGGAGAGGUAGACGGUACUCGGUAGGAAGUGGUAAAAUGCUUUGAUCUAUCGAUGACCACCUGUGGCGAAGGCGGUCUACCAGAACACGUCCGACGGUGAGGGAUGAAAGCUGGGGGAGCAAACCGGAUUAGAUACCCGGGUAGUCCCAGCUGUAAACUAUGCAAACUCAGUGAUGCAUUGGCUUGUGGCCAAUGCAGUGCUGCAGGGAAGCCGUUAAGUUUGCCGCCUGGGAAAUACGUACGCAAGUAUGAAACUUAAAGGAAUUGGCGGGGGAGCACCACAAGGGGUGAAGCCUGCGGUUC
This 876-nucleotide ribosomal RNA is filed under the name uncultured crenarchaeote. Its description in RNAcentral is "bacterial SSU rRNA". It matches the Rfam family "Archaeal small subunit ribosomal RNA", at positions 21 to 903 of the family's 1478-position model. The record is from RNAcentral. Lineage: Archaea; Thermoproteati; Thermoproteota.